CACUAUCGUUAACUGAAUACAUAGGUUAACGAGGCGAACCGGGGGAACUGAAACAUCUAAGUACCCCGAGGAAAAGAAAUCAACCGAGAUUCCCCCAGUAGCGGCGAGCGAACGGGGAGCAGCCCAGAGUCUGAAUCAGCUUGUGUGUUAGUGGAACGGUCUGGAAAGUCCGACGGUACAGGGUGAUAGUCCCGUACACCAAAAUGCACAGGCUGUGAACUCGAAGAGUAGGGCGGGACACGUGGUAUCCUGUCUGAAUAUGGGGGGACCAUCCUCCAAGGCUAAAUACUCCUGACUGACCGAUAGUGAACCAGUACCGUGAGGGAAAGGCGAAAAGAACCCCGGCGAGGGGAGUGAAAAAGAACCUGAAACCGUGUACGUACAAGCAGUGGGAGCACCUUCGGGUGUGACUGCGUACCUUUUGUAUAAUGGGUCAGCGACUUAUAUUCUGUAGCAAGGUUAACCGUAUAGGGGAGCCGCAGGGAAACCGAGUCUUAACUGGGCGUUAAGUUGCAGGGUAUAGACCCGAAACCCGGUGAUCUAGCCAUGGGCAGGUUGAAGGUUGGGUAACACUAACUGGAGGACCGAACCGACUAAUGUUGAAAAAUUAGCGGAUGACUUGUGGCUGGGGGUGAAAGGCCAAUCAAACCGGGAGAUAGCUGGUUCUCCCCGAAAGCUAUUUAGGUAGCGCCUCGUGAACUCAUCUUCGGGGGUAGAGCACUGUUUCGGCUAGGGGGUCAUCCCGACUUACCAACCCGAUGCAAACUACGAAUACCGAAGAAUGUUAUCACGGGAGACACACGGCGGGUGCUAACGUCCGUCGUGAAGAGGGAAACAACCCAGACCGCCAGCUAAGGUCCCAAAGUCAUGGUUAAGUGGGAAACGAUGUGGGAAGGCACAGACAGCCAGGAUGUUGGCUUAGAAGCAGCCAUCAUUUAAAGAAAGCGUAAUAGCUCACUGGUCGAGUCGGCCUGCGCGGAAGAUGUAACGGGGCUAAACCAUGCACCGAAGCUGCGGCAGCGACACUAUGUGUUGUUGGGUAGGGGAGCGUUCUGUAAGCCUGCGAAGGUGACCUGUGAGGGUUGCUGGAGGUAUCAGAAGUGCGAAUGCUGACAUAAGUAACGAUAAAGCGGGUGAAAAGCCCGCUCGCCGGAAGACCAAGGGUUCCUGUCCAACGUUAAUCGGGGCAGGGUGAGUCGACCCCUAAGGCGAGGCCGAAAGGCGUAGUCGAUGGGAAACAGGUUAAUAUUCCUGUACUUGGUGUUACUGCGAAGGGGGGACGGAGAAGGCUAUGUUAGCCGGGCGACGGUUGUCCCGGUUUAAGCAUGUAGGCUGGUUGUCCAGGCAAAUCCGGAUAAUCAAGGCUGAGGUGUGAUGACGAGGCACUACGGUGCUGAAGUAACAAAUGCCCUGCUUCCAGGAAAAGCCUCUAAGCAUCAGGUAACAUUAAAUCGUACCCCAAACCGACACAGGUGGUCAGGUAGAGAAUACCAAGGCGCUUGAGAGAACUCGGGUGAAGGAACUAGGCAAAAUGGUGCCGUAACUUCGGGAGAAGGCACGCUGGUGUGUAGGUGAAGCCCCUGCGGGUGGAGCUGAGACCAGUCGAAGAUACCAGCUGGCUGCAACUGUUUAUUAAAAACACAGCACUGUGCAAACACGAAAGUGGACGUAUACGGUGUGACGCCUGCCCGGUGCCGGAAGGUUAAUUGAUGGGGUUAUCCGUAAGGAGAAGCUCUUGAUCGAAGCCCCGGUAAACGGCGGCCGUAACUAUAACGGUCCUAAGGUAGCGAAAUUCCUUGUCGGGUAAGUUCCGACCUGCACGAAUGGCGUAAUGAUGGCCAGGCUGUCUCCACCCGAGACUCAGUGAAAUUGAACUCGCUGUGAAGAUGCAGUGUACCCGCGGCAAGACGGAAAGACCCCGUGAACCUUUACUAUAGCUUGACACUGAACAUUGAGCCUUGAUGUGUAGGAUAGGUGGGAGGCUUUGAAGCGUGGACGCCAGUCUGCGUGGAGCCAACCUUGAAAUACCACCCUUUAAUGUUUGAUGUUCUAACGUUGGCCCCUGACCGGGGUUGCGGACAGUGUCUGGUGGGUAGUUUGACUGGGGCGGUCUCCUCCCAAAGCGUAACGGAGGAGCACGAAGGUUAGCUAAUCCUGGUCGGACAUCAGGAGGUUAGUGCAAUGGCAUAAGCUAGCUUGACUGCGAGCGUGACGGCGCGAGCAGGUGCGAAAGCAGGUCAUAGUGAUCCGGUGGUUCUGAAUGGAAGGGCCAUCGCUCAACGGAUAAAAGGUACUCCGGGGAUAACAGGCUGAUACCGCCCAAGAGUUCAUAUCGACGGCGGUGUUUGGCACCUCGAUGUCGGCUCAUCACAUCCUGGGGCUGAAGUAGGUCCCAAGGGUAUGGCUGUUCGCCAUUUAAAGUGGUACGCGAGCUGGGUUUAGAACGUCGUGAGACAGUUCGGUCCCUAUCUGCCGUGGGCGCUGGAGAAUUGAGGGGGGCUGCUCCUAGUACGAGAGGACCGGAGUGGACGCAUCACUGGUGUUCGGGUUGUCAUGCCAAUGGCACUGCCCGGUAGCUAAAUGCGGAAGAGAUAAGUGCUGAAAGCAUCUAAGCACGAAACUUGCCCCGAGAUGAGUUCUCCCUGAGACUUUAAGUCUCCUGAAGGAACGUU
This 2672-nucleotide ribosomal RNA is filed under the name Klebsiella pneumoniae. RNAcentral describes it as "partial 23S ribosomal RNA". It matches the Rfam family "Bacterial large subunit ribosomal RNA". The record is from RNAcentral. Lineage: Bacteria; Pseudomonadati; Pseudomonadota; Gammaproteobacteria; Enterobacterales; Enterobacteriaceae.